CCUGUUUCACUGAUCUGCUUCAAAAUCAACAAAUGACUGGCUGCCAAAGCCAGCGCUAUUCCCCCAUGACGGGAAGACUGGAGGCCAGCUCUACCGAGAGAGAGAGGGGGGAAUUUAAUCAAACACUAAGAAAGAAGAGUCUGAGGGGCGCUUGGAAGGGUGCACAAAGUCUUCAGAGACAAACUGUCGCUGUGAGAGGAGAGAAAAGGACAAGCCUGACCUCUGUUAGCACGGUUGAGCUUCACCUCAGAAUCUCUUCUCUUCAUGUGAGAGAUUAAUGCGAGUGGACAGGAGCGAACAGCUGAAUCACAUUUUCAAAGGCUGCAUCGCACGGCAGUGGGGUGAGAACCUCUGCUCUGGCCUCGUCUGGUCGCUGGACUGCGUUGGCUUUUAUCAGCACAAUCUGCUCCCGUGUCCCUCGUGAUGAGAAAGCACCUGGCCUCCAAUUGGGGACAAGCUGGCCAAACCAACCGAGGUUCACCGGACACCCAUAAGUCCAAUGUCGCCACCACUCGAAUACAAAAAAAAGCCUCAACUACAGACAUGUGACUGUUAAUCAUUACGAAGAUGAUUUCCGUGAAAGCGCUCGGAUUGAAUUUGCUCAUUUUAAUUGGAUGUAGGAAGGCAACUCACAUUUCUUAAACAAACAGUGGGAAUUGAGCUUUGCCAUUUUCCGAGUGCAAUGAGUCUUAUCAUAUCAACAAAUGGAAAGUGCAAUGAGGAGGAGCUGCAAAAUCAUUUACAUAUUCAUAGAGAAUUACUCAACCUCUGCUAUAAUGUUAUCUUGCUCUGAGAGUUAGUGUGAAAGCCCCAGAUUGAGAAACGUAAAAUUUCCGGACAAAAAAAAAAAGUCUUAAUUUGUGUAAACAAAUAAUAGUGACCCUAAAAGCACCAGUACCUGCUGCAAGCAUAAUGGAGCUUACAGUGAAGUUUCCUGCACUACAUUGUAAUUAGAUUCCAACCUUCCUGUUUUGGUGUCACACCGCCAAUUUAAACGAUUAACUGGCAAGGGAGCUUCUUCCACAUUGACCUUUAGACAAGGCUCUCACAAGUUUAAAUUUGUCAGCUAGCAAUGUUCUACAGUGGAUAUGGAUAUGCAUCAUUUUUUCUAAAUUUGUAAAAUUCUUUCCACCACAUCUCUGUAUUAAAUAUUAUUAUGAGGUGGAAAUGAUAUUUAAAAACAUUUUGGGAUAUAACUGUGCCUAGCAUUUAAAGAAUAUUACAUAUACAAAAUAAUAUUUAAUUAUAAUAAUAACAAUAGUUAACAUUUUAGAACAUUUACAGCUUGAUAAUAAUAUGUAAUAAUAUCAAAUAAUGUCUAAUAAUAAUGAUAUAUUUUUUUUUACAUUUUAAUAAUAAUAUUUAAACUUUUUUUUUUUUUUUUUUUUGCACAGUUUGACCAAAAUUACAGCUUGUUUGCAAAUGAUACACAAUACAAUUAUUCUGUUUACAAGGGAUUUUUAACCUUGAUCUUUCAUGUCACAUUUCAUCUCGGUUUGCUCUUCACUGAUGUUGCUGUCUCCUUGGUGUUUCUUUGUAACCAAGUAAAGAAACUAAAAAAAGUUGGUAUAAGUGGCUAAAUUGUUGGUUGCUGUGUAAAAUGUUGACAAAUAAAUGACAAUUUGGGAUUUGUGUAAAAAUUACA
Long non-coding RNA from Cyprinus carpio (common carp), 1645 nucleotides. Lineage: Eukaryota; Metazoa; Chordata; Actinopteri; Cypriniformes; Cyprinidae. The record is from Ensembl.